Prunus avium (sweet cherry) is the source of this 706-nucleotide non-coding RNA. Lineage: Eukaryota; Viridiplantae; Streptophyta; Magnoliopsida; Rosales; Rosaceae. The record is from RefSeq and is a predicted model, not a curated record.
AUGAUGAUAAAUAUUUGUUUGGUUUUUCUUCAACUAUAUUCAUGAACCAGGUGCUCCACGGACGCAUCAGGAAAGUUCACUUGUGCCACAGCAGAUUGUGGCUCUGGCCAAGUCUCAUGCAACGGUAACGACGCAGUUCCGCCAGCUACAUUAGUAGAAAUCACUAUUGCUCCGAACGGGGGUCAAGAUUUCUACGACGUUAGUCUUGUUAACGGCUUCAACUUACCCAUGGCCGUGGCUCCACAAGGUGGCACCGGCGAGUGUAAGGCCUCAACUUGCCCUGCCGAUGUAAACGCGGUGUGCCCGGCUGAGUUACAAGUGAAGGGAUCAUAUGGAAGCGUAAUUGCGUGCAAGAGCGCUUGCUUAGCGUUUGACGAGUCAAAAUACUGUUGCACUCCACCUAACGACAAGCCGGAGACAUGCCCUCCCACUGACUACUCUAAGCUCUUUAAGGACCAGUGCCCACAAGCUUAUAGCUAUGCUUAUGAUGACAAGAGCAGCACCUUUACAUGCAAUGCUAGCCCUGACUACCUCAUCACAUUCUUCCCAUAAGCAUAUAUAUAUAUGGGAUCUUAUAUGUUAUGAUAUUAUACAUGUAGUUCCCAAUAAUAGAAAAGAAGAAAUAAAUUUCCUGGAUCUUGACACAUUGUUGAUGUCAAGAAUUUGUAAUGCAGACGAUCAAAUAAAGGAAUAAAUGUUUGGCUUU